Molecule: ribosomal RNA, 253 nt
Filed under: uncultured bacterium
Lineage: Bacteria
Description: partial 16S ribosomal RNA
Rfam family: Bacterial small subunit ribosomal RNA
Source: RNAcentral
UACAGAGGGUGCAAGCGUUAAUCGGAGUUACUGGGCGUAAAGGGCGCGUAGGCGGAUUUAUAAGUGAGAUGUGAAAUCCCUGGGCUUAACCUAGGAAUUGCAUUUUAGACUAUAGGUCUGGAGUACAGUAGAGGGUGGUGGAAUUUCCGGUGUAGCGGUGAAAUGCGUAGAGAUCGGAAGGAACAUCAGUGGCGAAGGCGACCACCUGGACUGUAACUGACGCUGAGACGCGAGAGCGUGGGUAGCAAACAGG